RNAcentral lists this long non-coding RNA (1986 nucleotides) under Haliotis rubra (blacklip abalone). Its description in RNAcentral is "uncharacterized LOC124273898". The record is from RNAcentral. Lineage: Eukaryota; Metazoa; Mollusca; Gastropoda; Lepetellida; Haliotidae.
UCUGACCAAGCGAUCACGUUAGUCGCCUUUUACAACAAGCAUGGGUUGCUGGAGACCAGUUGUACCGGAUUUUCACCGGUGUCGUUUAAGCUGCUCCUGAAGAUACUAUAUAUUGCAGAUAAUAACAUAAUAUUAUACAUACAUAGUGUCAAUAUAAUUGUGUUUUGGAGAAGUUAUGUUUUCACUGAUUGUUUCUAUAUUUCAGUCCGUGUAACCGAUGACGAUGUGAACGGUGUCGGCAAGGCAUUGAUAAGUCUACAAUCCUAUUUUGAGGUUGCUGCACGGCGUCUCUGUGACGUCAUCCCCAUGAUCAUACAGUUGCACGUGUUCCGGGAACAGGUCGAGGAAAUGCGGAUCCUGCUCAUGGACAUUGCUUCGGAUGAAAGAACCAUGGUACACAUCCAGGAAGAUCCAGACAUAGCUUAUAUGAGGAAUGAAUGCAAGUCUCGUCACCAAAGACUGCUUCUGGCGGAAGGAGAACUGGACAAUAUUUAGUGUUGAUCAAUGUCAGUCCUGGCACUUACAUUGUUUCUGCCAUAUAUAUUGUGUUGAAAGUCCAUUUGUACUGUUUUUAGACGGAUAAAGACCCAAUGUCAAUAAAUGAUGACAUUCUGCUUUUUGAAUUGGCGGUUAAAACGACGUCUAACCAUUCAAGUAUGGUGUAUAGAUAAUUUCAUUUUAAGUGGUUACAGAAUAUUUAUUUGAAUCCUACUUAACGUGCUGAAAUUGUUUAUCCCUACAGAAGACAUCCUGUCUAAAGUUUUGCUUAUUGUCGCGGAGUUUGAUACUCUCAUGUGCAGACACAUACACUACUCUGUUUUAUUUAAGAUGUGAUACGUGUUCAGUGAUGCCUAAUGCUGUCAUAUUGCUUAAUAUGUAACCUCAAACAAAACAAUUGCUUACCGUCAACUGUACCAAAAUCAGUUGUUUUCUCGUCUAAGGAUUUUCCAGAAUGAUCUGAGGUCAUGUCUGGCAUUUACAAAUAAUGUGUUUUGAUUAUCAAUAUAUUCUUCUUUGUUCUUUUAAAUGUGUUCUUGAGUUCAUUUCGUAAACUUCUGUAAAUUAUUUAAGUAUGUUAGUUUUCUUAACAUCCAUGUUGAUUCAGAGUUGCAGAUUUGUGUUUUGAAGAUGGAGGACGAUGCGCCUUUGUGAUUAAGAAUUUGUCUGAAACUUCGAUGUAUAGGGUAUCUUACUUGAAACUCCUGACCUUCUGCUCACUUCAUACGUUUCGUUCUUGUCACCUUCUAUACCAUGAAAUACGAGACUGUUUCUCGGGGGUCGACAAUCUAGGUCUCCAUGCCUAUCACACGUGUCCAUUAAUUCUUUUCCUAACCAGGCGGUGGGGUAGUCUAGUUGUUAAAGUGUUCGCUCGUCAUGGGUUCGAUUCCCCAUUUGGGUUUCUGAUGUGUUCUGCCGUGGUAUUGCUGGAAUAUUUGCUAAAUUCGGCAUAGAGCCAUAUUUAAUCAGUCUUUUCGUUACCAUUUGUUUUCAUUUGACAAUCUGUCACACGCUUCGUCUACGUGUGCCGCCAUCUUGUCAAAGUUACUUUCAAUGUGUGUAACACGCUCGUUUGUUCCACUAACCUCUUUUUAAUAUCCAUUAGUACGUUUAUAAUGUUCGUCAGUGCACUUUUCUGCAGCAGUUUCUGGACCCCCAACUAGCUUAGUUUGACGAGUUACAGGAGGACCGGCCUGGUUAGGACCCGGGUCCAGUAGAACAUCACCACAAACUGCCAAGAGGACUGUAAGCAGGACUAAGCCCAGCUUUUGGCAAUUCAGAUACCAUGAGUGUACCCGUGUAUUUGGCUGUGCGAAUGUCCCAAUUCUUGUACGGUAUAAAACUUAAUCUAUCCCCAUUUUCACAAAUCUCGGAGACGUUCAAAAACAUGUCAGCAAUGCCAGAUUUCUUAGCAUGCCCAUAACAAAUAUCAUUGCCAAAAAUCGAUGUGUCGAGCUGUCUUGAAAUAAAAGAUUUUCCUGUUUGUAA